GAGUAACACGUGAAUCAUCUACCUCCGAGUGGGGAAUAACCUAGAGAAAUCUGGGCUAAUACCGCAUAACACUUACGAGUCAAAGCAGCAAUGCGCUUGGAGAGGAGUUCGCGGCCGAUUAGUUAGUUGGCGGGGUAAUGGCCCACCAAGACGAUGAUCGGUAUCCGGCCUGAUAGGGCGCACGGACACACUGGAACUGAAACACGGUCCAGACUCCUACGGGAGGCAACAGUGGGGAAUUUUGCGCAAUGGGGGAAACCCUGACGCAGCAACGCCGCGUGGAGGAUGAAAUCCCUUGGGAUGUAAACUCCUUUCGAUCGGGACGAUUAUGACGGUACCGGAAGAAGAAGCCCCGGCUAACUUCGUGCCAGCAGCCGCGGUAAUACGAGGGGGGCAAGCGUUGUUCGGAAUUAUUGGGCGUAAAGGGCGCGUAGGCGGUGCGGUAAGUCACCUGUGAAAUCUCCCGGCUCAACUGGGAGCUUGCAGGCGAAACUGCCGUGCUGGAGUGUGGGAGAGGUGCGUGGAAUUCCCGGUGUAUCGGUGAAAUGC
This 549-nucleotide ribosomal RNA is filed under the name uncultured bacterium. Its description in RNAcentral is "bacterial SSU rRNA". It matches the Rfam family "Bacterial small subunit ribosomal RNA", at positions 108 to 689 of the family's 1533-position model. The record is from RNAcentral.